UCCCUGUUACCAGGGCAGUCUGUCUAGAAAAAUACAACUAAACAAAGGGGUUGCGCUCGUUGAAGGACUUAACCUAACGUCUCACGACACGAGCUGACGACGGCCAUGCAUCACCUGUCUUAGAGUUCCUUACGGCACAGUUUCCUUUCGGAAGCCUUCUCUAGAUGUCAAACCUGGGUAAGGUUCUUCGCUUACCAUCGAAUUAAACAACACGCUCCACCGCUUGUGCGGGUCCCCGUCAAUUCCUUUAUGUUUUAGUCUUGCGACCGUACUCCACAGGCGGGAUGCUUAACGCGUUAGCUUCGCUACAAGAAGGGUCGAUACUCCUUACAGCUAGCAUCCAUAGUUUACGGCGUGGACUAC
RNAcentral lists this unclassified non-coding RNA (363 nucleotides) under uncultured bacterium. RNAcentral describes it as "contains 16S-23S intergenic spacer region". The record is from RNAcentral.